UUGACCUCGGAUCAGGUAGGAAUACCCGCUGAACUUAAGCAUAUCAAUAAGCGGAGGAAAAGAAACCAACAGGGAUUGCCCUAGUAACGGCGAGUGAAGCGGCAACAGCUCAAAUUUGAAAUCUGGCUUUCGGGCCCGAGUUGUAAUUUGUAGAGGAAGCUUUUGGCGCGGCACCUUCUGAGUCCCCUGGAACGGGGCGCCAUAGAGGGUGAGAGCCCCGUAUAGUUGGAUGCCUAGCCUUUGUAAAGCUCCUUCGACGAGUCGAGUAGUUUGGGAAUGCUGCUCAAAAUGGGAGGUAAAUUUCUUCUAAAGCUAAAUACCGGCCAGAGACCGAUAGCGCACAAGUAGAGUGAUCGAAAGAUGAAAAGCACUUUGAAAAGAGGGUUAAAUAGCACGUGAAAUUGUUGAAAGGGAAGCGCUUGUGACCAGACUUGCGCCGGGCUGAUCAUCCGGUGUUCUCACCGGUGCACUCUGCCCGGCUCAGGCCAGCAUCGGUUCUCGUGGGGGGACAAAGGUCCUGGGAACGUAGCUCCUCCGGGAGUGUUAUAGCCCAGGGCGUAAUGCCCCCGCGGGGACCGAGGCUCGCGCUCUGCAAGGAUGCUGGCGUAAUGGUCAUCAGCGAC
RNAcentral lists this ribosomal RNA (623 nucleotides) under Canariomyces microsporus. Its description in RNAcentral is "partial 28S ribosomal RNA". It matches the Rfam family "Eukaryotic large subunit ribosomal RNA", at positions 1 to 648 of the family's 3401-position model. Lineage: Eukaryota; Fungi; Ascomycota; Sordariomycetes; Sordariales; Chaetomiaceae. The record is from RNAcentral.